RNAcentral lists this long non-coding RNA (307 nucleotides) under Elaeis guineensis (African oil palm). RNAcentral describes it as "long non-coding RNA (EGUI_LNC035586)". Lineage: Eukaryota; Viridiplantae; Streptophyta; Magnoliopsida; Arecales; Arecaceae. The record is from RNAcentral.
AUACCUUUGCGUGGAUAGUUCUUCACCACGAUCUUAUACCUUUGCAUGGAUAUCUUUGAGAUUUUUUAAAGCCGCACAUGUGUCCGAUCUCUACAGGUAUCCACAUAGGACUAAUCUCAAUUAGGAGCAUCCAAAACCACCAAGGUGCUAGUUCCUUGCAAGUUUCUCUCCUUCAAUAAUUGGAUCUAUCUUCUUCUUUCCACCUUUUCCCUUUGCAAGAGAUUCAAGAAAGAAGACAAGAGGAUGAAGAUGGAGAAGAUGUGUGAACACCUUUAUGUGAAAGAGGAGGAAGAAGAAGAGAGGUAAA